Taeniopygia guttata (zebra finch) is the source of this 2012-nucleotide non-coding RNA. The record is from RefSeq and is a predicted model, not a curated record. NCBI's taxonomy places the organism in Eukaryota, Metazoa, Chordata, Aves, Passeriformes, Estrildidae.
UUACCUUUGGCUAGCAGUGAACAGCCUCCUACCUGUGUGUCUCUUGUGCUGUGUGAGAUCUUGGUGUGUCAAGCGUUCUUUACCUCAUUAGUGGGUUUUAUGAACCAGUCAGGCCAUUUUGCUAUGCAGUGCAACAGCUUCUUUGCCACAAAAGUGCUUUAUAUACAUUACAAUGUUUUCAUGAGCAAUGAAAGUCAGUAUGUAAGAGAGCAAUAUUUUAAAAUUAUGUUAUGAAUGUGCAAUACUAACUUCAGUUUUGUUACAUUAAUUUUGACAAAAUGGAUGCUUGCAAUUCAGGUUUACAUGCUUCAGACUGCAGAGUACUGUGUUAGCAGCUCUAACAUGUCUGUGCUAAAGAAUACCAGUGAUAAAAGCAUUAUGUCUGUGUCUGUCCUAUUUAAGUAAGUUCCAAAUUCAUGCUUGCCUUUGUACUUGUUUUAAAUUAGUUUUUACCAAGCAGUGAUAGGAUUGAAAGUUGGGUUUGAAGUUAGGCACUAGUGCAAUGACAUACAUCUUUUUAAUGAUAAUUUUGAGUCUAGGACUUGCCCAUUGUUCAUUGAAGAUUAAAAAGGGCAUGCUUUGUUUUCUUGCCCCUCUCUCAGUAACAUUUAUGGAGUGAGAAAUGAUCUGGACAGUGUUCUGACAUUGUUCAUGAAAUGCGUCCAACACUUCUAUUCCAACAAUGACCUCUUGUUCAGUCUGAAACCAAGAGAUGAAGUCUGAAUGGUUUCUUUUUCUCAUCUCUUGUUUACCUAUUUUAAAAUGAUGUGUUUACUCCAAUCAUACAAAUCCACAAAUUGAUCUUAGUUUUUCUUUUGAAUAGAUAGCACUUCAAAUAAUUACUCUGAGUAACAAAAACUGGUUUUGUUCAGUUGUUCCCACUUCUAUGUAAAGGCUUUGAUAUUUAAACGGUCUGCUCUGCUGCUUUUGUCUUUCAUAUAUUUAAAUUUUUUUUGUGUAUUCGCUCAUUGUCCUGCUGGUUUUCUUCCAGAGAACACAAUGUCUACUUUUCUUCAGUUUCAGAAACAACAUAAUUAUGACCUGAAAUUUAAGUAAUUUCUAGAUGACAGAAUUCUACCGAUACCUAAAUGUUAGUGACAUAACUUUAUAACUUGAAAAAUAUCUGAAGUUUUCCUUCUAAGCUGUUUCUUGAGGGUUCUGUAGAAAUACUGUAAAAAUUGACCUCUAAGAAACACUUGUAAAUUUGGACUGAAGCUGGUUUUACAGUCUGACCAAGGGAGAAGUUCUUUGCAUUUGAACUGGGAGUUAUAGACUGUCAUGAGCACAGCUUCUCUCCAGUUGUUAAAGAAAGAAGACGGAAGAACAUUUUUGGCUGAACAUGUUAAAAUAAUUCCUUCAGCUGACCCGAUGACAUUUGUGCUUCUCUCUGGUGUACAAAAGGACCUUAUGUUUAUUAAAGAAAUUGAACUAAUGUUCAGGAUUUGCUGCCAAUGAUGCAAAAAUAAAUUACCAUGAAAAUGUGAAUUGUUUGCAUAUUUUGCUAUGAAUAAUAAUUUUAGAUUCUGUAAAGUUACUGGCCAAAUUUCAAACAACAACAUAGAAGUUGCUAAAAAGAUAUGUAAAACUGUAAGAUUGAGAGUUCAAUUACAACAUGUUUUACACAGCAAAGCUUUUUUAAGUGUCUAGGUACUUCUAUUUGAUGUCGACCUAUUUUUUUCUGUGAAAGAUUGCAUGAGUUUUCCAUAAUGCUGCCAUUGCAAGUUGUACUCAAUUUCUUCUAUUGAUAAGCAUGUGGCAUACUGAAAUUAAUUUUCUUCAUUGUAAGGUUAUUUGUCUUAAAAAGACAGUACAUACUUUUAUGUUCUUAUCUACCAGCACUGACUCUUUUGUGAAAAAGGGAGUAAAUUUUUCAUUUUGUGUUGUGCCAAGUAACAUUCAAAGGAUGGUGCUAAUAACUUGGAUUCCCUUCUGUGGAAAGUAGUUUGUGCCAGGAGUGGAAGAUUUUGGAAAGCUAAACUGGAGUUAAAGUAUAUGCUGUCUUUUAAAGGAAA